GUGGUUGAUCAGUGUAAUCUGCAGUACUGAAUACGUGUGCUGUUGUCCAUGACGCCACAGAGAAUGUUACUGGUGCUCACCGACAGGACCUAACAAGUUAUUGGGAUCCCUGUGCGAUGGUUCCAUACAAA
Non-coding RNA from Oncorhynchus kisutch (coho salmon), 131 nucleotides. The record is from Ensembl. Lineage: Eukaryota; Metazoa; Chordata; Actinopteri; Salmoniformes; Salmonidae.